This 314-nucleotide long non-coding RNA is filed under the name Cyanistes caeruleus (blue tit). Its description in RNAcentral is "lncRNA (ENSCCEG00000002349.1)". Lineage: Eukaryota; Metazoa; Chordata; Aves; Passeriformes; Paridae. The record is from RNAcentral.
UAAUACAUUAGAGGUGAAUGGCACUUACGUGCCUGAAACUGCUUGAGCGACAGAAAACAAGGGGCAAAUCAUCUUAUCCUAGAUGAGAUGACUUACCUUAUGGAAGUGCUUCAUGGAGAUCCACUCUCUCAAGGGAGCCUUGGAAAGAGGUAAUUUUAUGACAUUUUAUCCUCAGACAUGACCUUAGAAGUGGAAACACGGUCCAAUCACUGUGAAAGAACUUUGACUUCAUCAGGAUAUGAAAAUGCAGCCAUGAAUUGUUCAAACUGUUGAGUGAUGAUAAAACUUCAGGCAUUAAGAUGGAUCUGCCAAAA